RNAcentral lists this ribosomal RNA (465 nucleotides) under uncultured bacterium. RNAcentral describes it as "partial 16S ribosomal RNA". It matches the Rfam family "Bacterial small subunit ribosomal RNA", at positions 338 to 795 of the family's 1533-position model. The record is from RNAcentral.
CCUACGGGUGGCAGCAGUAGGGAAUCUUCCACAAUGGGCGAAAGCCUGAUGGAGCAACGCCGCGUGGGUGAAGAAGGUCUUCUGAACGUAAAACCCUGUUGUUAGAGAAGAAAGUGCGUGAGAGUAACUGUUCACGUUUCGACGGUAUCUAACCAGAAAGCCACGGCUAACUACGUGCCAGCAGCAGCGGUAAUACGUAGGUGGCAAGCGUUAUCCGGAUUUACUGGGCGUAAAUGGAACGCAGGCGGUCUUUUAAGUCUGAUGUGAAAGGUUUGGGCUUAACCGGAGUAGUGCAUUGGAAACUGGGAGGCUUGAGGGCAGAAGAGGGGAGUGGAACUCCAUGUGUAGCGGUGAAAUGCGUAGAUAUAUGGAAGAACACCAGUGGCGAAAGCGGCUCUCUGGUCUGUAACUGACGCUGAGGUUCGAAAGCGUGGGUAGCAAACAGGAUUAGAUACCCUGGUAGUC